AACGAACGCUGGCGGCAUGCCUAACACAUGCGAGUCGAACGAGACCUUCGGGUCUAGUGGCGCACGGGUGCGUAACGCGUGGGAACCUGCCCUUAGGUUCGGAAUAACUCCCCGAAAGGGGUGCUAAUACCGGAUAAUGUCUUCGGACCAAAGAUUUAUCGCCUUUGGAUGGGCCCGCGUUGGGUUAGCUAGUUGGUAGGGUAAAAGCCUACCAAGGCGACGAUCCAUAGCUGGUCUGAGAGGAUGAUCAGCCACACUGGGACUGAGACACGGCCCAGACUCCUACGGGAGGCAGCAGUGGGGAAUAUUGGACAAUGGGCGAAAGCCUGAUCCAGCAAUGCCGCGUGAGUGAUGAAGGCCUUAGGGUUGUAAAGCUCUUUUACCCGGGAUGAUAAUGACAGUACCGGGAGAAUAAGCUCCGGCUAACUCCGU
Molecule: ribosomal RNA, 432 nt
Filed under: uncultured bacterium
Lineage: Bacteria
Description: partial 16S ribosomal RNA
Rfam family: Bacterial small subunit ribosomal RNA
Source: RNAcentral